RNAcentral lists this ribosomal RNA (253 nucleotides) under uncultured bacterium. Its description in RNAcentral is "partial 16S ribosomal RNA". It matches the Rfam family "Bacterial small subunit ribosomal RNA", at positions 524 to 776 of the family's 1533-position model. The record is from RNAcentral.
UACGGAGAGUGCAAGCAUUAAUCGGAAUUAUUGGGCGUAAAGGGCGCGUAGGCGGGAGAGACAGUCAGAUGUGAAAUUCCGGAGCUCAACUUCGGAGCUGCAUUUGAAACUAUUCACCUAGAGGAUUGGCGGAGGAAACGGAAUUCCACGUGUAGCGGUGAAAUGCGUAGAUAUGUGGAAGAACACCUGUGGCGAAAGCGGUUUUCUAGCUUAUUCCUAACGCUGAGGCGCGAGAGCAAGGGGAGCAAACAGG